Arachis ipaensis is the source of this 792-nucleotide non-coding RNA. NCBI's taxonomy places the organism in Eukaryota, Viridiplantae, Streptophyta, Magnoliopsida, Fabales, Fabaceae. The record is from RefSeq and is a predicted model, not a curated record.
CAUUGACAUUACGGCGGUUUUAAAGAACCGCCGUAAUACCCGGUUAUUAUGGCAUUUUUGGUUGCUGCCAUAAUUAACUUUGUGUUUGGUGGUGGUUCUGGUGAUUAUGGCGGUUUUGAACUGCCAUUUUCACACGUAUAUAAAACAAAAGAAUUGCAACCCUAGCCUCAUUAAACGAAACAGAGUAACGGCGCUCUCGAUCUCCCUUCUCUCUCCUUCGUCUCCUCCGUGCUCCGAUAAUGCCGUUCUUCCCUCUCGGGCUUCUCCUCUCUCCGUCGGUACCUCUCCCUCUCCGCCAGUUACUGAUUUCUUCGCUCUCUCUCUCUCUCUCUCUCUCUCUCUCUCUCUCUCUCUCUCUCUCUCUCUCUCCCCGAUCUCAGAUCUAGUGCCCAUGUCUUUAGUAGCUUCUACUUUAUGUGAUUUGCAGUUGAGGUAAUGCCAAUGUCUUCUCAGAUCUAGUGCCAAUUUUGAUUCGGAAGAAACUUUUAGGGUUCAGAAGAAAUUUUUGAAAGUGACGAGGAGCAAUUUGAUUGAGAAAGGUGUUGUUCAGGUCUUCGAAGGUACCUCUGGGAUUGACAAUAAGUUACAACUGUGCAAUUUACUGGAGAGGAAAGACACUCAUAUACAUACAUACACACACAGAUGGUUAACCCAGAAAAUGAAUCACAUAACAUGUUGGGCCCAAUCUGAACAAUCUGAAAAUUCAAUCGUGGACUCUCUUCAAAGCAUUACUAAAUUUCAUUCAAAUUGGGCUAAGAGAAAUAGAGAUAUUUAGCCAAAUACAAUACCAAA